This 450-nucleotide ribosomal RNA is filed under the name uncultured Glomeromycotina. RNAcentral describes it as "SSU rRNA". It matches the Rfam family "Eukaryotic small subunit ribosomal RNA", at positions 569 to 1017 of the family's 1831-position model. Lineage: Eukaryota; Fungi; Glomeromycota. The record is from RNAcentral.
AGCAGCCGCGGUAAUUCCAGCUCCAAUAGCGUAUAUUAAAGUUGUUGCAGUUAAAAAGCUCGUAGUUGAAUUUCGGGAUUGACGUGACGGUCGUGCCUUAAGGGGUAUGAACUGUCGCAGUUGAUUUCUCACCUUCUGGAGAAGCUUGAUGUCCUUAAUUGGGUGUCAUGUGGAACCAGGACCUUUACCUUGAAAAAAUUAGAGUGUUUAAAGCAGGCAUUUUGCUCGAAUACAUUAGCAUGGAAUAAUAGAAUAGGACGGCAUGGUUCUAUUUUGUUGGUUUCUAGGAUCACCGUAAUGAUUAAUAGGGAUAGUUGGGGGCAUUAGUAUUCAAUUGUCAGAGGUGAAAUUCUUGGAUUUAUUGAAGACUAACUACUGCGAAAGCAUUUGCCAAGGAUGUUUUCAUUAAUCAAGAACGAAAGUUAGGGGAUCGAAGACGAUCAGAUACCG